GACGAACGCUGGCGGCGUGCUUAACACAUGCAAGUCGAACGGUAAGGCCCUUCGGGGUACACGAGUGGCGAACGGGUGAGUAACACGUGGGUGAUCUGCCCUGCACUUCGGGAUAAGCCUGGGAAACUGGGUCUAAUACCGGAUAGGACCACUGCCUGCAUGGGUGGUGGUGGAAAGCUUUUGCGGUGUGGGAUGGGCCCGCGGCCUAUCAGCUUGUUGGUGGGGUGAUGGCCUACCAAGGCGACGACGGGUAGCCGGCCUGAGUGGGUGACCGGCCACACUGGGACUGAGGUACGGCCCAGAAUCCUACGGGAGGCAGCAGUGGGGAAUAUUGCACAAUGGGCGCAAGCCUGAUGCAGCGACGCCGCGUGAGGGAUGACGGCCUUCGGGUUGUAAACCUCUUUCAGCACCGACGAAGCGCAAGUGACGGUAGGUGCAGAAGAAGGACCGGCCAACUACGUGCCAGCCGCCGCAGUAA
Molecule: ribosomal RNA, 478 nt
Filed under: uncultured bacterium
Lineage: Bacteria
Description: partial 16S ribosomal RNA
Rfam family: Bacterial small subunit ribosomal RNA
Source: RNAcentral